UGGUGGCCCCUCCCGUGACUUGAACCGGGAACCUAACCAUUAUGAGUGAUUAGCUCUACCUAUUGAGCUAAGGGGCC
Molecule: transfer RNA, 77 nt
Filed under: Klebsiella phage Matisse
Lineage: Duplodnaviria; Heunggongvirae; Uroviricota; Caudoviricetes; Pantevenvirales; Straboviridae
Also listed under: 1 other name
Description: tRNA-Met
Source: RNAcentral